GAAUAUUCAUCAUGUAUGCUUUUCUAAUUAUAAUGGGGGGUGGGGGAUGAAGAGGAAACUUUUCGAGCCACACACCGGAAUUUACUUUGAGGAAAUAAAGUGUUCAUAGCAAAUAAGUGUUGAAUACUACAGCAUGGAAUAACAAAAUAGGACUUUGGUAUUGUUUUGUUGGAGUAGAGAAACCAAAGUAAAGAUGAAUAGGGACAGUUGGGGCAUUGGAAUUUGAUAGUCAGAGGUGAAAUUCAUGGAUUUAUCAAAGACCAACAAAGGCGAAAGCAUUUGCCAAGGAUGUUUUCAUUGAUCAAGAACGAAAGUCAGGGGAUCGAAGACGAUUAGAUACCGUCGUAGUCUUGACCGUAAACGAUGCCGACUUGGGGGAGGUGCGAGAUGAGAAGCGGAUCUCAACCAAAGGAGAAAUCAAAGUGUAUGGGUUCUGGGGGGAGUAUAGUCGCAAGGCCGAAACUUGAAGGAAUUGACGGAAGGGCACCACCAGGAGUGGAGCCUGCGGCUUAAUUUGACUCAACACGGGAAAACUUACCAGGUCCGGACAUGAUGAGGAUUGACAGAUUGAGAGCACUUUUAAGAUUUCAUGGGAGGUGGUGCAUGGCCGUUCUUAGUUGGUGGAGUGAUUUGUCAGGUUAAUUCCGAUAACGAGCGAGACCCUGUGAUGACGGUAAUGAUUGAGUAUGUAAAUACGCGAGACGUUUCUUCAUCGACACCCCA
RNAcentral lists this ribosomal RNA (723 nucleotides) under uncultured eukaryote. RNAcentral's name for it is "bacterial SSU rRNA". It matches the Rfam family "Eukaryotic small subunit ribosomal RNA", at positions 671 to 1426 of the family's 1831-position model. The record is from RNAcentral.